CAUAUACUCCCUCCGCCCCGAAUUACUUAUCGCAGAAAUGAAUGUAAAUGGAUGUAUCUAAAACUAAAAAUACGUUUAGGUACAUUCAUUUCUGUGACAAGUAGUUCGGGACGGUGGGAGUAUUUG
Molecule: non-coding RNA, 126 nt
Organism: Triticum aestivum (bread wheat)
Lineage: Eukaryota; Viridiplantae; Streptophyta; Magnoliopsida; Poales; Poaceae
Source: Rfam